Molecule: long non-coding RNA, 341 nt
Organism: Rhagoletis zephyria (snowberry fruit fly)
Lineage: Eukaryota; Metazoa; Arthropoda; Insecta; Diptera; Tephritidae
Source: RefSeq, a predicted model, not a curated record
AAGAAACUCGGUAUGUUUUUGUUUACUAAUUCGGAACAAAACUGUGGAUACUUGCGAUAUGACGGCUGCAGAUCAUCCCAGAUGGAAAUUGUGAGCAUUGAUUGUAAACAUCGGAUGAUUGUUGGCGGCUGAACACCGUAUAGACAUGUUCGGUACGUUCGCUGGAAUAUACAAGAAUAAUAUCAGGGUACAGAAGGUUACAAAAGAUUGUCUGUAUAUAAUAAGUAUUCAGAGCUGAAGCUGGGCCAAGGUGUGACCCUUGCGAAACUCCAGAUACAACGUAUAGAAGAAAAUGCCACCAACGUCAGCAAAAAAAAAUAUUAAAAAUCAACGCGAUUUUU